GACGGGAGAUAUAUUUCGAUUUUGUCUCAAAAAUUGAAAAUUGCUGAACUUUUUUCGUAUUUAAUGCGAGUCAGCGAUGGAUGUCAUAAACGAUAACGAUAAGGCAUUCGAAGAAGCAUUUCACAAUCUGUAUGGAAGUGAAAUCGAAAUCAGUAAUGACGACGAAGAAAUCGAUACACAAACACUGUUUCAAUCUAUUGAUGAUCUGGAUUGUACAUUGAUCGAGAAUACAGAAGAUGAUUCUCGAGAUUCUCAAGUAGUACUAGUGAUAGCCCC
Nylanderia fulva is the source of this 276-nucleotide non-coding RNA. The record is from RefSeq and is a predicted model, not a curated record. Lineage: Eukaryota; Metazoa; Arthropoda; Insecta; Hymenoptera; Formicidae.